UACGUAGGGGGCAAGCGUUGUCCGGAUUUAUUGGGCGUAAAGAGCGUGUAGGCGGCCAUGCAGGUCCGUUGUGAAAACUCGAGGCUCAACCUCGAGACGUCGAUGGAAACCGCACGGCUAGAGUCCGGAAGAGGAGAGUGGAAUUCCUGGUGUAGCGGUGAAAUGCGCAGAUAUCAGGAGGAACACCGGUGGCGAAGGCGGGACUCUGGGCCGAUACUGACGCUGAGGAGCGAAAGCGUGGGGAGCAAACAGG
RNAcentral lists this ribosomal RNA (253 nucleotides) under uncultured bacterium. Its description in RNAcentral is "partial 16S ribosomal RNA". It matches the Rfam family "Bacterial small subunit ribosomal RNA", at positions 524 to 776 of the family's 1533-position model. The record is from RNAcentral.